AGAGUUUGAUCAUGGCUCAGAACGAACGCUGGCGGCGUUAACACAUGCAAGUCGCGUGCNNNGUUUCCGUAGCAAUACGGGGAUGGGCGCACGGNNGCACGGGUGCGUAACACGUGGGCAAUCUGCCCUCCGAUGGGGAAUACCCCCGCGAAAGCGGGACUAAUUCCGCAUAACAUUCCUUGGAUUAACUUUCGAGGAUUCAAAGCAGCAAUGCGUCGGAGGAGGAGCCCGCGCCCGAUUAGCUAGUUGGUGAGGUAACGGCUCACCAAGGCAAUGAUCGGUAGCUGGUCUGAGAGGAUGGCCAGCCACACUGGAACUGAGACACGGUCCAGACUCCUACGGGAGGCAGCAGUGGGGAAUCUUGCACAAUGGGCGAAAGCCUGAUGCAGCGACGCCGCGUGGGGGAUGAAGCUUUUCGGAGUGUAAACCCCUUUCGACUGGGACGAAUGCCUCGCAAGAGGAGUGACGGUACCAGUAUAAGAAGCCCCGGCUAACUACGUGCCAGCAGCCGCGGUAAGACGUAGGGGGCCAGCGUUGUUCGGAAUUACUGGGUGUAAAGGGUUCGUAGGCGGUGUGGCAAGUCGGGAGUGAAAUCUCUGGGCUCAACCCAGAGACUGCUUCCGAAACUGCUGUGCUUGAGUGUGAGAGAGGCUCGUGGAAUUGCAGGUAGCGGUGAAAUGCGUAGAUAUCUGCAGGAACACCCGUGGCGAAAGCGGCGAGCUGGAUCACUACUGACGCUGAGGAACGAAAGCUAGGGGAGCAAACAGGAUUAGAUACCCUAGUAGUCC
RNAcentral lists this ribosomal RNA (788 nucleotides) under uncultured bacterium. RNAcentral's name for it is "bacterial SSU rRNA". It matches the Rfam family "Bacterial small subunit ribosomal RNA", at positions 8 to 796 of the family's 1533-position model. The record is from RNAcentral.